GUAGUUGAACCUUGGGCCUGGCUGGCCGGUCCGCCUCACCGCGUGCACUGGUCCGGCCGGGCCUUUCCCUCUGUGGAACCCCAUGCCCUUCACUGGGCGUGGCGGGGAAACAGGACUUUUACUUUGAAAAAAUUAGAGUGCUCCAGGCAGGCCUAUGCUCGAAUACAUUAGCAUGGAAUAAUGAAAUAGGACGCGCGGUUCUAUUUUGUUGGUUUCUAGGACCGCCGUAAUGAUUAAUAGGGACAGUCGGGGGCAUCAGUAUUCAAUGGUCAGAGGUGAAAUUCUUGGAUCCAUUGAAGACUAACUACUGCGAAAGCAUUUGUCAAGGAUGUUUUCAUUAAUCAGGAACGAAAGUUAGGGGAUCGAAGACGAUCAGAUACC
RNAcentral lists this ribosomal RNA (381 nucleotides) under Ophiocordyceps sinensis. RNAcentral describes it as "SSU rRNA". It matches the Rfam family "Eukaryotic small subunit ribosomal RNA", at positions 630 to 1016 of the family's 1831-position model. The record is from RNAcentral. Lineage: Eukaryota; Fungi; Ascomycota; Sordariomycetes; Hypocreales; Ophiocordycipitaceae.